This is a non-coding RNA of Chrysemys picta bellii (western painted turtle), 1442 nucleotides long. Lineage: Eukaryota; Metazoa; Chordata; Testudines; Emydidae. The record is from RefSeq and is a predicted model, not a curated record.
UAUUCCUUCUCUGCUUUUUGCUUCCCCGGCUUCUUUCCUCCUUUCGAUUGAAAACCUCCAGCGCUUUCCAGCUGGAGAAACACUGGGGGGACUGGACGAGCCACCCCACACUGGGGCUUCAGCCUUCCUGCAGCCCAGCCCGGGAGCCCAGUCCACCCCCCCCCCCCGCCUUGGAAAGGCUGGAGGCCAGAAAAUGGCUUUGGGAUCCUGGGGGGCGGUGGAUGGACAUUGGGGGGGUGGCUGGAAUUCGUUGCACUCUGUGCAUGCAAGAAAUGUCUUCCGGGGAGGGGAAGGAGGCAGGAGAAAGGAGGGGGUACAGGCAAGGAGACAGCCGUAGCCCCUGUGUCUGGGUUGCUUUCAGUCACCCCCUCCCCCCCAACUGGGAGGAGAGAGGACGCGCGCGCGUGUGUGUGUGUGUGUGUGUGCUGGGGAGGGGUGGCGUUUUCACGCUCGCUCUGCUGCUGCCGGGCUCUGGCUGUGGCUGCCCCUGGUGCAUUAGCUGGCGCGGAGGCAAGUGAGAGCGGCUGGAGUUUUGCACGACACCGGGGACUCCAAACUGCGUCUCCCCCUGUGAUCCUGGACUCCGGAUACAAUUAGCAAAAAUUGCAAAAACUGCUAUUGACUGGAGUGGGAGUUUUGUCUGAGGAAGGACUUCAGAACUGUGCUGGAGGAGCUGAAUUCACUGCUUGCAUAAUUGGCUAACAUCUCCCUUCACGUUUCUCCCAGUUACACCAAUGACAAAGGUGUAUUUGGAAGUUACAGAAACUAGACAAAUCAACAGUCACAUUGCCGGCGAAGCCAGACGAGGAAGCAGUUUAAGCUGUGAAUUUCUUCUUCACCCCACAUAGAACAGUGACGACCAUCAUUUUUGUCUUCACCAUAGAGAGAUGCUUUGUGAACAAGGUUCUGCGGUGAUGUGAUUACAGGACAAUCUCAGCUUUUUUUUUCUUUUAUUUCCUCCCCCCACCCCCCUUUAAAAGUAAGUUUGUAUCUCAUACGUUUGUGGAGAAGAGCUUGACCCUUAAAGGCUCAACACAUUUUCAAUCAGACUGCAAAUAAAAAGAAUCCAAAUGUUCUUAUUUAUUUGAGUCUCAUGGUUUUUAAGCCUAUCUCAUGGCCCUGACUCAUGAUUUUUAAGUACUUGGGAUUGGUUAUCCUGCUAAUGGUAAUAAAAAUAUAAAGGUUGCAGGAAGAAAAUAGGCUGUUCUUUUAAAUAAUAUGGCAAAUUAAGCUAGGGAAUUAGAUUCAGAAACUGAAAGUACUUUUUUUGUUUUUAUUAAAGCCAGAAAACUGAGUUACUAUAGUAUUCUGUUGAUGAAAAGCUGAUCAGAAAGUCUGUGUAGUGGAAUAACUUUUUAAUGUAUACAGUAUGUCAUAGUGAAGUGUGCAGUACAUAAAUUUACAUUUUAUUGUGACUGCAGGAUGGGGUAUUGUUCUUUAAA